UGCAGUCGAACGCAGUAGCAAUACUGAGUGGCAAACGGGUGAGUAUAAUGUGAGGUGAUGCCUUUUGGUCUGGAAUAACACGAGGAAACUUGUGCUAAUACCGGAUAAGCCUUCACAGGGAAAGUUUUAAUGCCAAAAGAUGAGCCCGCACUUGAUUAGCUAGUUGGUAAGGUAAUAGCUUACCAAGGCAACGAUCAAUAGCUGUUCUUAGAGGAAGACCAGCCACAUUGGGACUGAGACACGGCCCAAACUCCUACGGGAGGCAGCAGUGGGGAAUCUUGCACAAUGGGGGAAACCCUGAUGCAGCGAUGCCGCGUGAGUGAAGAAGGCCUUUGGGUUGUAAAACUCUUUCGUCGGGGAAGAAAAUGACUGUACCCGAAUAAGAAGGUCCGGCUAACUUCGUGCCAGCAGCCGCGGUAAUACGAAGGGACCUAGCGUAGUUCGGAAUUACUGGGCUUAAAGAGUUCGUAGGUGGUUAAAAAAGUUGAUGGUGAAAUCCCAAGGCUCAACCUUGGAACUGCCAUCAAAACUUUUUAGCUAGAGUAUGAUAGAGGAAAGUGGAAUUUCUAGUG
RNAcentral lists this ribosomal RNA (572 nucleotides) under uncultured bacterium. RNAcentral describes it as "bacterial SSU rRNA". It matches the Rfam family "Bacterial small subunit ribosomal RNA", at positions 56 to 675 of the family's 1533-position model. The record is from RNAcentral.